ACAAGAAGCUAGCCAAACGGAAUUUGAAUUCCAAUGGAAAUUAAAGUUCCACAGACUUCCACUAACAGAACAGAACAACGAAUCAGACGAAGGCUAAAAAAUUCAGCAAGCCAAGGUUCUUGACUUGUUUUAUCCCACAGAAAAAACCUAAUCUGAUUUAUAUUCUAUUUCUACCGUCGUCAUCACAGAAUGCUUGAAGCAUUUAUCUGGAGAGAUGGGAGAGGUUCCUCUCUGCUUUUUUUUCCUUGUUUUCUUUCUCUCUGAUUUUACUAUAAGACGAAAACCUUUUAGAGAAAUAAAAAAGUCAAAUGA
Molecule: unclassified non-coding RNA, 312 nt
Filed under: Hevea brasiliensis (rubber tree)
Lineage: Eukaryota; Viridiplantae; Streptophyta; Magnoliopsida; Malpighiales; Euphorbiaceae
Source: RNAcentral